This 505-nucleotide ribosomal RNA is filed under the name uncultured bacterium. RNAcentral's name for it is "partial 16S ribosomal RNA". It matches the Rfam family "Bacterial small subunit ribosomal RNA", at positions 28 to 507 of the family's 1533-position model. The record is from RNAcentral.
GACGAACGCUGGCGGCGUGCCUAAUACAUGCAAGUAGAACGCACAGUUUAUACCGUAGCUUGCUACACCAUAAACUGUGAGUUGCGAACGGGUGAGUAACGCGUAGGUAACCUGCCUGGUAGCGGGGGAUAACUAUUGGAAACGAUAGCUAAUACCGCAUAAUAUUGAUUAUUGCAUGAUAAUUGAUUGAAAGAUGCUAUUGCAUCACUACCAGAUGGACCUGCGUUGUAUUAGCUAGUAGGUGAGGUAACGGCUCACCUAGGCGACGAUACAUAGCCGACCUGAGAGGGUGAUCGGCCACACUGGGACUGAGACACGGCCCAGACUCCUACGGGAGGCAGCAGGAGGGAAUCUUCGGCAAUGGACGAAAGUCUGACCGAGCAACGCCGCGUGAGUGAAGAAGGUUGUCGGAUCGUAAAGCUCUGUUGUAAGAGAAGAACGGGUGUGAGAGUGGAAAGUUCACACUGUGACGGUAUCUUACCAGAAAGGGACGGCUAACUACGUG